UUCCAACAGUAGUGAUUAAUAUUGACAUAAUAGAAGUAAGUGGAUCGAUCAAGUAUCCGAAUUCUAAAGAAAAAUCAUUAUUUAUAAUCCAAGACCAUACAUAUUGAUAGACAGAACUGCUAUUUAUUUGCUGAAUAGACAGAUUCAGAGAAAAAAUCAUGACUAUACUUAACAAUAAAACGCUCUGAAAAGCCCACAUACGACGAAGACUUUUUGUUGCCGUCGGAAAAAGAAGAAGUCCCAACCCUAUUAACAUAGGAACUGGAAGUGGAAGAAAAGGUAUUAUCCACGCAUAUUGAUAUGUCUGUUCCAUAAAAAAAGUUUUUUAUUCUUAAUUAAUUGUUUUCGAUUCACCGGAUCUUACCUCUUUCGAAAAAAGUCAAUAAAAAAUCAAGAUAUGCACUAACUUAUUGAAUAAUUUUAUAUUAGUAUUUAUUCUGAGUCUUUUCAAAAUCGUUCAAAUAUUCAAAACAAGAAGUUACAGUUGGUCAAAUGAUAUUACUAAGUGACAUAUAAAAACGAAUACUUAUAAUAGGAAAAUGAAAAUAUAGCAAGGAUAAAAAUUUAGGCUAAAAAGAAUACUUUAUCCUGAUAUGAAUUAUAGGAUUAACUAAGGGCAUUGGUCUAAUGAAAAAACCUCUUGAUUUUCGUUAGUUUAUUUAAACUCAUUAACUAAUUCAUUAUGGGAUUGAUUGUUUUCUAUUUCAAUCAAAACAAUUUAUUAACUCCAUUUAUUAGGCAAAAGUUUACAAUCCUUUGAGGUAUUUUAUUACAUGUAAAUAAAGUAUAGAAUAAGGAAAAUAAAGGGUUUUUAGGUUAUUUAUUUCUUUUAUUAAGUUUGAUUUAGCAGAUUCUAAAGAUAGAACUUUGAGAGAUAAACAACGAGAACUAAAAGUUCCAAAACAAAAUUUUUUUUAUUUCGAGUAAUUUUUGAUCCAAUUUUAACGGAUAUUUGACAUAUCUAUAUUUCUUUUUUAUGAAGAAAAUCUUAUUUAGAUAUAUGAAGAGAAUCUUUUUUAGAUAAAAAAUAUAUAAUGAAUAAGAAAUAAGAAUUCGUUUUGAACAAUAGAUGUCUUUCACAUCCAACUAUAACAAUGAGUAACUUUUAAAUGGCAGUUCCAAAAAAACGUACUUCGACAUCAAAAAAGCGUAUUCGUAAAAAUAUUUGGAAAAGGAAAGGAUAUGGGGCGGCGUUAAAAGCUUUGCAUUAGGGAAAUCUCUUUCUACCGGGAGUUCAAAAAGUUUUUUUGUACGACAAACAAAUAAGUCCUAAAAUAUCUGAAUAAUCAGAUCAAAAAAUCGGCUCAUUAAUUUGUUAAUAUCAAAGUGAAUAUAAAAUGAAUAAUUGGCAGUACCUAUUCUAAUCAAUAUGAACUCAAUAUGAAAUAGACCCUUAAUUUGAAUUUUAUAAAAGAAUUCUUCUGUUUUCUGAAUUCUAAAAAAAAAAAGAAGA
RNAcentral lists this long non-coding RNA (1453 nucleotides) under Helianthus annuus (common sunflower). RNAcentral describes it as "hypothetical non coding rna". The record is from RNAcentral. Lineage: Eukaryota; Viridiplantae; Streptophyta; Magnoliopsida; Asterales; Asteraceae.